CCUACGGGUGCUGCAGUGGGGAAUAUUGGACAAUGGGCGAAAGCCUGAUCCAGCCAUGCCGCGUGUGUGAAGAAGGCCUUCGGGUUGUAAAGCACUUUCAGUGGGGAAGAAAGCCUUGGGGCUAAUACCCUCGAGGAAGGACAUCACCCACAGAAGAAGCACCGGCUAACUCCGUGCCAGCAGCCGCGGUAAUACGGAGGGUGCGAGCGUUAAUCGGAAUUACUGGGCGUAAAGCGCGCGUAGGCGGUCUGAUAAGCCGGUUGUGAAAGCCCCGGGCUCAACCUGGGAACGGCAUCCGGAACUGUCAGGCUAGAGUGCAGGAGAGGAAGGUAGAAUUCCCGGUGUAGCGGUGAAAUGCGUAGAGAUCGGGAGGAAUACCAGUGGCGAAGGCGGCCUUCUGGACUGACACUGACGCUGAGGUGCGAAAGCGUGGGUAGCAAACAGGAUUAGAUACCCGUGUAGUC
This 464-nucleotide ribosomal RNA is filed under the name Vreelandella stevensii. RNAcentral describes it as "partial 16S ribosomal RNA". It matches the Rfam family "Bacterial small subunit ribosomal RNA", at positions 338 to 795 of the family's 1533-position model. Lineage: Bacteria; Pseudomonadati; Pseudomonadota; Gammaproteobacteria; Oceanospirillales; Halomonadaceae. The record is from RNAcentral.